Ipomoea nil (Japanese morning glory) is the source of this 358-nucleotide long non-coding RNA. RefSeq lists it as uncharacterized. The record is from RefSeq and is a predicted model, not a curated record. The transcript has 2 exons. NCBI's taxonomy places the organism in Eukaryota, Viridiplantae, Streptophyta, Magnoliopsida, Solanales, Convolvulaceae.
CAACCUCUCAAUAAUUCUAGGAAUAUCCUCAGAUCAGAAAUAAAAUUAAAGGUGGGAUGGCAGACAGUAAUUUUGACAGCAAUUAUUUUGACAGCAAUAUUUCUGACUACCAGAACUUGACCACUACGCAAGCUAAUCAAAGUCAAAUUGGGCAGAAUAAUACUGUCAUAGUGGUAUGAAAUCUACUUUACGUUCCAUGUAUAUAUACCUAAAAACUUACCAAGAUUGUUUCAUUUAUUUUAGUUAUUUUAUUGUUAUAUAAAAUAAAUAAAAAGUGUUUAACACCUCUCCAAUUAGGCAAAUUAUAUCAUGAACCAAGGUCCAUCUUGUAUUAUGGAUUUUAGUUCAAAAUGAUGUU